Non-coding RNA from Solanum lycopersicum (tomato), 614 nucleotides. The record is from RefSeq and is a predicted model, not a curated record. Lineage: Eukaryota; Viridiplantae; Streptophyta; Magnoliopsida; Solanales; Solanaceae.
UUAAACAUUCGUAUCAAUUUAUUAACAGGGUUUCUUGUAGCUAUCCAAAUAAGAAUAUUACAUUCAAGAUUGAUGAGAGUAGUGAUAAUCCUUAUUAUUUGGCUUUUGUUAUAUGGUAUCAACAAGGCAAAACUGAUAUUUCCGCAGUUCAAUUGUGUGAGACAGAAAAUUUUGUGUGCAAAUUAUUGGAUAGGACACGUGGCGCAGUAUGGACAAGUUCAUCACCACCAAAAGGACAAUUGCAAAUAAGAAUGUUAUUGAGUUCUGAUGAUGGAGAUGAAAAAUGGAUUAUUCCUUUAAAUAAUAUUCCUCAAAAUUGGAAAGGUGGUGAAACAUAUGAUUCUGGAAUACAAGUGGAUUAAUAACGGAACGGGAACAAGAGGUUGUCCUUUUCUCAGUUUGAUAAUUUCAAAAUUAUUAUCAAUAAUUGUUGUCGAUGAAAAGAUGCAUUAAAUUUUGGAUAAGCAGUUAACGUAAAUUACUAUCGUAUAAUGAUUUUGUAUAAUUUGUAAGCAAAAAUUUGUUUUUAUGUUAUUUGUUGAUUAAAUUUGUCAUAUGAAAAAAGAGAAGAGUAUAUUGGCUCUUUUUUAAAAUAAGUAUAGUUGUUAUAAGUG